This 253-nucleotide ribosomal RNA is filed under the name uncultured bacterium. Its description in RNAcentral is "partial 16S ribosomal RNA". It matches the Rfam family "Bacterial small subunit ribosomal RNA", at positions 524 to 776 of the family's 1533-position model. The record is from RNAcentral.
UACGAAGGGGGCUAGCGUUGCUCGGAAUCACCGGGCGUAAAGGGUGCGUAGGCGGGUUUUUAAGUCAGGGGUGAAAUCCUGGAGCUCAACUCCAGAACUGCCUUUGAUACUGAAGAUCUUGAGUCCGGGAGAGGUGAGUGGAACUGCGAGUGUAGAGGUGAAAUUCGUAGAUAUUCGCAAGAACACCAGUGGCGAAGGCGGCUCACUGGCCCGGUACUGACGCUGAGGCACGAAAGCGUGGGGAGCAAACAGG